CAGCAGCCGCGGGAAAACAGAGGGUGCAAGCGUUAAUCGGAAUUACUGGGCGUAAAGCGCGCGUAGGUGGUUUGUUAAGUUGGAUGUGAAAGCCCCGGGCUCAACCUGGGAACUGCAUCCAAAACUGGCAAGCUAGAGUACGGUAGAGGGUGGUGGAAUUUCCUGUGUAGCGGUGAAAUGCGUAGAUAUAGGAAGGAACACCAGUGGCGAAGGCGACCACCUGGACUGAUACUGACACUGAGGUGCGAAAGCGUGGGGAGCAAACAGGAUUAGAUACCCGAGUAGUCCCUGUCUCUUAUAC
This 301-nucleotide ribosomal RNA is filed under the name uncultured bacterium. RNAcentral describes it as "partial 16S ribosomal RNA". It matches the Rfam family "Bacterial small subunit ribosomal RNA", at positions 509 to 807 of the family's 1533-position model. The record is from RNAcentral.